GCCAGGCAUGUUGGCGCAGGCCUGUAAUCCCAGCUACUUAGGAGGCUGAGUCAGGAGAAUUGCUUGAACCCGGGAGGCAGAGGUUGCAGUGAGCCGAGAUCACGCCACUGCACUCCAGCCUGGGUGACAGAGCAAGACUCUGUCUCAA
This 148-nucleotide non-coding RNA is filed under the name Pan troglodytes (chimpanzee). Lineage: Eukaryota; Metazoa; Chordata; Mammalia; Primates; Hominidae. The record is from Rfam by way of RNAcentral.